RNAcentral lists this transfer RNA (73 nucleotides) under Camelus bactrianus (Bactrian camel). It matches the Rfam family "tRNA". From Rfam's summary of the family: Transfer RNA (tRNA) molecules are approximately 80 nucleotides in length. Their secondary structure includes four short double-helical elements and three loops (D, anti-codon, and T loops). RNAcentral also lists the same sequence under 2 other names. The record is from Rfam by way of RNAcentral. Lineage: Eukaryota; Metazoa; Chordata; Mammalia; Artiodactyla; Camelidae.
GAAGGUAUAGCUCAAGUGGCAGAGUGCAUGCUUAGCAUGCGUGAGGUCCUGGGUUCAAUCCCCAGUACCUCCU